AUACGUAGGGGGCAAGCGUUGUCCGGAAUUACUGGGCGUAAAGGGUGCGUAGGCGGCCGAUUAAGUCAGAUGUGAAAUACCACGGCUCAACUGUGGGGGUGCAUAUGAAACUGGUUGGCUUGAGUGCAGGAGAGGGAAGUGGAAUUCCUAGUGUAGCGGUGAAAUGCGUAGAGAUUAGGAGGAACACCAGUGGCGAAGGCGACUUUCUGGACUGUAACUGACGCUGAGGCACGAAAGCGUGGGGAGCAAACAGGAUUAGAUACCCUGGUAGUCCACGCCGUAAACGAUGGAUACUAGGUGUAGGGGGUAUCGACCCCCCCUGUGCCGGAGUUAACGCAAUAAGUAUCCCGCCUGGGGAGUACGGCCGCAAGGUUGAA
RNAcentral lists this ribosomal RNA (377 nucleotides) under uncultured bacterium. RNAcentral describes it as "bacterial SSU rRNA". It matches the Rfam family "Bacterial small subunit ribosomal RNA", at positions 523 to 898 of the family's 1533-position model. The record is from RNAcentral.